Apodemus sylvaticus (European woodmouse) is the source of this 389-nucleotide long non-coding RNA. RefSeq lists it as uncharacterized. The transcript is spliced from 3 exons. NCBI's taxonomy places the organism in Eukaryota, Metazoa, Chordata, Mammalia, Rodentia, Muridae. The record is from RefSeq and is a predicted model, not a curated record.
CAUCAGAGAAGUUGGUGUUAAGAGACUAGGGCACUGUUGGAAGCUGUGCCCCAACGGAGAGGGGCUCAAUCCAGGAGGCCUGAAAGAACAGAAUAUCCCUCCAAAAUUGCUCUUUUCUCCAUAUGACAGACCAGAGCCAUUCUUUGGGGUGACACUUCCAACAGUAAGUCAUACGUGGAGAACAACUUACAACAUGCGUCCUGCUGGAGUUCCCAGUGCCCUGUUUUGCCUCACAGGUAUUCAUUAAACAGACUAGACUGUGUUGCUGGAGCACGGAUACUCGCUAUCUGGUUCUCUUCAGAUGCAGCUAAGAGUACUUAAAAUUGGCCUCUUUCUCCUAACUCUUCGUGUCUGCGUGCGAUGCCUACUGUGAGGGCAGAAACACUCUG